GGUAUGGUGGUGAGGUAUAGGGUGGAGGUGACUGCCUACCACUGCAUCCUUUAAAUGCACCCAUCCGUUUUAUGAGGUAGUCCGUGCUUCAGCCUAGAACACUGAUUUCAGUUCUGAAAAUGGACAAGACAUCAUGAAAUUCUUUUUGACAGCAUGGUUCAAACAGAGGUAAGUUUCUUUCAGAAUUUCAUUAUAUUUACAUUUAAUGGAUCUUGUCAAGUUCAGUGUUUUAACUUUGUUAUGGGGGGUGGGGUGGGGGGUCACAAUGAUUGGUUUUGUACCCCUUCAAAACUAAAGGAAUUAGCCAAAAGAUGUUCUGUGAGCAUUUCAUCAUGAGGUUUAAGUUUAUGAAAUUAAGAAAAAAAUUAGAUGAAAUGAAAGAGAUGUAAAAAAAAAAAAUGUCAAAAGUGGUUGUGGGAAAGAUUGUCAGAAACUACCAGAUGUAAAGAUUUUCUGAAGAUACUAUAGGCUUUUCAAAAAUGCUGGAAUCUUAAGCAGAAAUAUAACUAAAUAGUUAACGGAUAUUCAAGUGUUACAAAACAUGUGAAGGCCUUCUUUAGUAGAAUAACUAAUUGUCUGCAGAAUGGCUACAGGAAAAACAAACCAUUACAAAGAAUAAAUAUAAGAAGCAGAAAUGAUUCCUUGUCCUUGUUGAUACAAUAAGAAAUCUACACAGGAAGUAUCUGUGUGAACAUACUACACAGAUAUCUUACCCUAUGCCACUUAUCACCUAUUUUGGGUGGUGCACCCCUCUCUUGCUGAUAUGUGUAAACUGCAUGACAGCCUGAAAUCAUGAAUAUGUACAAUCUUGAAAAUCUUGCUGAAAUGGUGUGCUGUAAUUCCUCCAGCAAGAAGUGCAUGUAUGUAUGAGUGUGACAAAUGCAGGGAUAAAAAAUGUUCCUGUUUUUACUGCAUAUAACCUGCAUAUAAUUGGCAUUCACUCAGUGGAUGUUAAGAGAGAGGGAAAGCAAUGUGAAGGGUGGAACAGUGAAGGUUGUGAUGCAUUUCUGAAGAGAGCAGCUGGUCUAAAAAAACCCCAAAAAUUCCACUCUUCUUAUACCUCAGGCGCCCCAUGGCACCUCCUUUUCCAAAUUUAAAUAUUUCCAGCAAUUUCACAUUAUAUUCAAUGUAUGGCUACUUUAAUCCUUCUUUCCUUAAUUUACAUACUUACUAUAUUUUCUUAUUUUUCCCGAUACCGCCCCUUAAUUAAAACAUCCUCCCCUUGAUGACAUCAAUGUUCCUUCUCUCAAUGUUCCCCGUACAUACAUAGAAGGGCACGCUUCCUUCAUUUGACCACAACCUUUCGGGUACAUGAUGUUUACAACAAUGUGCACAUACCUACCUCAAUGUUUACAACAAUGUGCACAUACCUCACGUACCUUGAUGUUUUCAAUGUUUUAAAAUUAGAUGUGCUUCCAUUUCUUAGUAAACCAUGCUUCUAUUUCUUGGUAAACCCUCUAUGUCUGAAUUUGAAUGUGCUUCUCUUUUACCUAUUAAGCGAUGCUGAUGCUGAUAAGAUGCUGUUAUGUCUAGCGUAUGUCUAUCUUCUCUCACCUGGGUGACUAUUCUGGGCUCUGAAAAUCCCCUUACUUUCAAACUUCUCAUCACCAAAAAAUCCCCUCUAUUUCACCCUUCUCAGCACUAGUUCUGCAUGAUUAUUAUAAAAGUUAUACAUUUGCAUUAAUCAAAAGCUCAAAAGCCUGAUAUUAUAAAGGAUAUAUAUUUUAUAUAUUUGCAUUACUCAAAAGCUAACUACUAAUCAGUAGCUAAAUAUUUUGAUAGAUAUUUGAUAGGUAUUUGAUAUUUGAUAGAUAACCACUACUUCUAGGCAGAGCAUUGCCAUUUUAAAUCUAGGCUAAUAUAUGACGUAUGAUAUCUAGGUAAUUUCUCCGACAUCACUCCCCCCUUUGAGACUCUUGAGUCUCACAUUCAACUUGUACGUGUCUUACUACUCUGUGUUCUUAUCCCUCAUGGUAUUUACAUCAUCUUCAGUGACAAUAUACAAUAUGGCUUUCACGUGCAAUGUCCUUAUAGAUGAGGCUCAGUUUCUUCUGACCCAGGCACUUUGCGUGCCGCAGAAGGUCCGUUGGAGCUCCUGGGAGAGGUUCACCUAGCACUUCACCUGGGGCUCAUCACUACAUGGUCUAAUGUGUCACAUGGACACUAUCUAUGUUGGGUAGACAUCAGAAACAUUUAUGACCAUGAAAAAUUAAGUUCCACAUAAUUAGAUUAGUUUGUAUUUCUAACGUAACAAGUACGCUGUUAUGACACUGUUUUAACAUUUUCCACCUAUUUAACCACCUAUCCUGCUGUCCUCUCCAUUCUCCAUUUUCCUAUUACUUCACAUCCACACAUCACUCCCCCCUAUUACUUCAUUACACAAGCUUCUUCUCAAGGUGAACCAGGAGUGGGCGAAAAACCCUCAGGUGCCAAUUGCGAGGGAAAAUUCUCACUCUGUCCGCAUCUUGUUUGCGCAACAGUGUGUUCAUAUCAUCAGGUUCACAUAAUAAGUUAAAUGAACAUUACACAGACAUACCUAAAUGUAACAUAUGACACAAACAAUCAACAUAUAUGGGUGUGUGUGUACACAGUGGACACUGCUGGUCUUGGGUAAUCUACAGACGUUAGGUCGCAUCUCGUCUUUCUGUAUUCGCCACCAGCAUGAGACAGGCUAGGCACCGGCGAUAUGGAUUGAACAUGUAGGUCAACCUGCUGUCACUUGGCUCCAAUACGGCACAUUUCGCGUGGUGAAAUCGCCGGCGUUGCUGUGGAUCAUCACUAUCGACAUUCGCCAUACUUCUGCACACAACACUUACUGUAAACUGAGAUAGAAACAGCCUAGACAGAUAUGGACAUACAGAAAACAAGUAACACAAACUAGACAAACAAAGCAAACAACAUCAAAGUCUUUGAAUACUUGUUAUCAGUUCUCAACUCCAUCUCCACUCUCGUCUAUCAGCAAGAGACUUGAUUAACUGCACGAGACUUGGAUAAUUGCAUUCCUUUACAUUUAAACACUCUGAUGUACAUGUAAUCUCCAGGGUCCACCUGACGUGGCUGCUCCUCCACCUCGGUGCUGUGUACGGCUUCCCCAUCCUGUGAACACAAAGUUCUAUGUAGCCAGGUUAGAUGUUUUACAUAACUUGACAUUUCGCCUUCUAGUUGCUCUAGCAAAGGGCCCUUGUAAGGUCCCUGAAUGAAAGCCACUGGCAUUGGUUGCCCCGUAAGCAUUUCAUGUGGUGUCAAAUGAGUGUUUCUGUUGGUUUGAGAAUGCAUUUUCAUCAGUGCUAACGGCAAUGCUUGUACCCAAUUAAAUUCAAUUAGUGCUCGCACAGAUUUUAGCUAUUUUCUCUUUCAUGUUCGCAGGAAUUUGUCCACCAUACUCACCAAUUAUAGAGACUACCCGUCCUCUCGAAUUGUUGCAAUCCAAUCCUCUAGGGAGCAUCCUAACAGUUCCGAAAUUGCCGGUCCGUGUACAAUAGCUGACCCAUCUGCUCACUGGAAACCUCUCUGUGCCCAAAUUGGCCCAAACACAUGACACACUUCGUAAGCAUAGGCCGAAUCAGUGUAUAUUGUACAUGUCUUGCCUGCUCCCAGUUUGCAUGCUGCUAUUAGUGCUUUUAUUUCUGCCAAUCCUGCCGACUACGCCAAGCAUGGUUGUGCCACAGUCAUCACUGUGUUAAAUGUUCCUGAUUUGUCAUCAUAUUGAAUCACUGCAUAGCCAGCUUUGUUUCACUCAUUUGGUCUGCUGCUUUCACUAUGUCUCUAAGUGGCUGUGUUUUCAUAGCAAAAUCACAAAUCCACGGUCUGCUAAAACCAGCCAAACCCAAGAACAAUAGCAUCUGCUGGACAGUUUGAGGUCUAGGAGCUUUUUGGAUUGUUUCUACGUGGUCUGGUGAGAUUUUUUGUGUAGUGCCUUCGAGCACUCUAACUUAGUAUUCCACCUUUUGCUGGCAGAAUUGCAACUUUUCUUUAUUUACUUUAUCCCCGUUUUCUGCCAGAGUUUUUAGGACUUGCGUCUUGUACACGUUGUUCAUCCACAUAUUGCAAUAUUGUACUGGACACAUCCAAAUUGGCCAGAUCUCGAGCCAGAACUUGGUUAAAACUGAUGGAUCUUACAAUAGCCUUGUGGCAGUCUUGUGUAUGUAUAUUGCUGUCCACCAUAGGUAAAAGUAAACAGGAACUGCGAAUCUGGGUGCAAUGGGACACUAAAGAAUGCUAAGCAUAGAUCAGUUACUGUGUACCAUUUUUGUUCCUUCUGGAAUGUUUGACAACAGGGUGUGUGGAUCUGGGACUACUGGAUUUUCUGCUAUUACCACAUGGUUUCCUGAUCGCAAAUCAAGGACCAGCCUCCAUUUGUCUGAAUUUGGUUUUCUGACCAGAAAAAUGGGAGUGUUGCACUGACUUUUUGUUGGGACCAGAAUUCCUGCUUCCGCUAGUCCCUCAAUCGUUGGCUUUAUCCCCACUCUUGCCUCCUUCGACAAGGGAUACUGUUUUUGAUAUGGCAACCGUGCUCCUGGUUUAAGCUGUGUCUUAACUAGACCUGCUGACUUCACCAGCCCUACAUCUGUCUGAUGUUUGGUCCAUAACUGGCCUGGCACUUGUGCUAAUGCUUCCCCCCUUCUUCCUCUGUGAGCUCCCGCUCUUCUGCCCAUUGGGGCAGUUGUUUCAUCUUGCUCUUCUCUAUCCUCACAUUCUCGGUCCUACUUAUCCGCACAGUCUGUGGCUUCACCUCAUCUACUGCUACCUGCUCUAUUCUGAGAAACUUUCUAUCUAGAGAUAUACUGACUCCCUGUCCUACCUGUGUCCACUGUGCCACCUGACUUGCUUCCCUCACCAUUGGUCCUAAUUCUUUUGAUUCAAAACCCUGAGGUCCUGCUAUAAGGUUUAUAGUCUUUAGAGUGUACUGUGUCUUUGCUUGUUCAUCCCACAUGGCCUCAUAUUCUUUGUUUUGUCCUUCUUCAUCAUACAUCAUCAUGCAGUGCCAUGGUUCCCCGCUUUCUUGACAAUCGGGCCAUAUUUUAAUGAGCCAGGGUUUCCACUGUGCAUACAGGUCCCUUAUUCCACUGUGCAUGUUUAGUUCCAACCAAUACACCUUGUCCAUUGUACAUAGUUCCAAUUUUGUCUCCAUCAUGACGUACUGUUGAAUUAGAUGCUCUGGGAGCUCCACCCAUACUCCACUUUCUCCGCAAUGUAUUUUAGCUCCUAACUUGCAGAGCACAUCUCUUCCAAGUAGAUUCGCUGGAGUUUCUGGGGAGAACAGUAAUGGUGCUUGCACUGUCACUCCUUGUAUAUUCAGGAAGACUGCACCAGCUCCCCUUCUGGCUUCUCUGGGCCUCUGCUUCACAUGCUUCCCCACAGGGCCUGCUCCCAAGUUUAUUGGUCCUUGUGGCUGUGGCCCCAUCCAGGGUCCCCUCCAAUUUCCUGGACCUUGCCAUCCUUGAUUUUGCUGUGAACCUCCUCUUGGGGGCGCCAUUUGUUGAUAGGCAUAUGGACAGUCCCGUUUCCGGUGACUAGGGUCUUGACAUACCCAACAUCCUCCUCUUCCUCCUUCACUCAUCAGAGCCCUUCUUCUAGAUGGUUUCUGGAAUGCUCCUCCUCCUCGACCGCACCCAGAUGAGCCCCCACGUCCCUGACCCCAUCCUCGAUUCUGGGGUGGGUACUGUUGAAAUGGGGGGUACAUUACCAUUGGUGCAGGCGCAUAAUAAGCAGGUUGCAUCUACUGCAGUGGGACCACUGGUGUCGUUUGUGUCAUGGCUGCUGGCUGUGGCACCAGAGGUGCAGGCUGAGCCACAGACUUUCUUCUUUGGUGCAGGCCAGCUCACUCAAAUGGGCCUUGUGGAGUUGCAUUACCAGGCUUUCAGCUGUCUUCUUUGCUUCUUUUUCUCUUCGUCUGUGCAGCUCCACAUAAUGAAUUACAUUAGCCUCGAAGGUGGGCCAAGCCAUUGUAUUCAGUCCCACUACUGUGUCCAGUUGAUCUUGGACCUCUAUUGGAAGAGCUUUCUUUCCCAUCAUGCUGAACAGGGUUUGACUUGCUGCUGUUUCAUCCCAUGCUCCUCCCAUCUCUUCUCUCCAUGCCUCUUGUAGCUUCAAUACAAUUCAAUACUCUCUCCCAAUUUGAUCUUCUCCACUCUUCCUGGAUCCGCCCACACCGGAUAUGCAUACCUCAGAGACCGCCAGAUUUGAUUACGGUGGGUCCCAAAUGGGCUUGGAUCAUAUUUCUGUCCCACUGCCUCUCUUCUCAGGUCUACAUUAUGAAAAAUUGCAAUCAUUUUGGCCUUACCCAGUGACUGAGACAAUAUUGCCUUGACAUCUCCUAAUGCCAGUACUUGUCCCAUUGGUUGCUCCUCAAACCGUGUGAUCCAUUUUUGAGCUCCUUCACAGAUGCUUGGCAGUCUGCCAAUUAAUCCCAUCAAGUCCAUGAAUGACCAUGGGACAUAGGCCACAUCAUUUCCUUUUAUUAUCACUGGCAUCUGGGAUGACACCUUCUGCUACCUAUCACCUUUCUUUUCUUCAUUGUCUUUCUGGGGCCAUUCCUCAGUUUCUUCUUCAUUCGCCCCUUGUCUAGGCUUAGCAGAUCUCAAUGUCAUAGACAUGGGUGGCACCGUUUUCUUUGUUCUUUCUUUCUUUUCCCCUCUCAACUGGUCCCGUAAUUCUCUCAUCGUCUUCCGGGCUUCGUCCACUCUUUGCUCCAGAUUACUGUGUGCUUCUCUUAACUCCUGGUGGAGCUGAAUCAGUUCAUCGUCUUCAUUUUCUUUAAUUCUUACCUGACUCAGUUCAGCCAACUCCCCUUGUGAGUGCUCUAGUCCAUGCACUUUCUGCAAUAUUUGCUUACGCAGAUUUUUAUUCUCUUUUAGACUUAUUUCCAUCUUUUCCAGUCUGUUUGUUUCUUCCAGUUCUUUUUCUGCAUGUGCAUGUGUCCACUCCUUCAGCUCUUCCAUUGUUAAACGGCUGUCUUCCAUUCUUUCUUCCAUUUCAGCUUCAUUUUCUUCCUCUUCCUCACUACACUUAUCUUGUUCUUCCUCACUACACUUAUCUUGUUCUUCCCUUGUUCUUUAUCUUGGUUAAGGGGAGGGGUCUCUCUUCCCUCGUUCAUUUCAACUCCUCAUCCUCUCCAAGCUGGGAAAAUAAAUUCGCCUUUUCCCUUUCAUCGUCAUGCUUGUCCGAGUGUCUUGCAGGGGAUCUUCCGUCUUCACUGUUCACCCUUGAUGGUGGGUCUCUUUCCCCCUUUCGUGCGGGUGUGCUUGAAUAGCCUCCUGAUCCUCGCCACUGCAUUUUUCCGCCAUACUUUCCUUUCUCCAGAUUCGUCUGAUACUCUUUCCAUAUAUUGUUUUCCUAUCCAGUCUCUUGUAGGGCUCUGGCUCCCACGUCAGACUUUCCUCACUUCCUUCCAGGUUCCCCCCUUUCCAGGUCCCCUCUCUCUUUGAGCUCUGUGCUGCUGCUGCGUCUUCAUUCGGCCUAUAUAUUACUUUGCCCUCGAAUUGGCCUUCCACUAUCUCUAAAUUUACUCUCUGUGGUUGUCCUUCUUCUAGGAGAGGAUAGAGUCCUGCUGUCUGUGUGGCACUCAUUUCUCUGUAUGGGGGUGGUGGUUUCUCCUGCUCCACAAGCUGCUGGUGGGGCUGUAGCCUUUUUUUCCGUCAUGUCUGAGCUCUCUCUCUCUGCCGUUCUCCUUCCACUUGGAACCAUUUUACAAUUUCUUUCUUCCUGUCUGUCUUUUCACUAUUUUCUUUCUUUGUCUCUCCCCAACAAUCUAGUCUUUUCUUCAUUUUUUCACACCUGUCAUUAUUGAAUGUGCCCUCUCGUGGCCACUGCAGCUCCCCACGUGUCCGGUCAUACCAUUCAGCCUACCACCCUGGGUUUGACCGUAAUAGCAGCCUUUAACCCUGAACAAUACUUACUCUGUACUGGUCUAGCUCUAAACAAUCUCCACUACAGGCUCAAAGUACACCACUUCCCUACUUGAGUGUAAGUACAAAUACUACUGUUUUUUAUUAUAAAGACAGAUUUUUUUCCUUAAGUAAAAGUAUAGGAGUACUUUGUUUUUAAAAGUAUUUAAGUAUCAAAAGUAAAAAAUAAAUGUCAAUGUAUUAUUGUAUGCCAUACUUUUGGAGUAUUCUAUUGAAUAUAUAGUUUGUAAAUGUUUUGUAAAUGUAACUGUAAAUGUUUACAAAUGUUAAUUAAGAGCUAGAAUGUGUAGAAUGUUACAAAACCUAUAGCAAUUAAACGAUUGAAUUGACAAAAAAGACAAGUAUAAUGAAAAUAAUUUUUAAGCUCUAAAACCCAGGUACACAACUUUAGCAGCAGUAUACAACACUGCUUUAACAAAGAGCAAAACAGAAAGACUUAUUUGCCAUCAAAACAAAAAUGUCAAAGCAUCAGUUGUGACAAUAAUACUUACUCAAUUUUGUUGAAAAUACUUUGACACAAUAUACUGAGUUGAAUUUAAAAAAGGAAAAUUAAAAUCACCAAAAAAGGAAAAAAAGGUGGAUUUCAUUCAUUCAAAAGACAGUGUAACAGUAACUUAGUUUAGCUUAGAUAUUUAGUAAAUAUCAUUUAAAUUUUAACAAAAUUCUUAGUAGAUUGAAACUAUUUUCAGUCAGAAUAAUGAAUAAGUGUAACGCUUGUUUUUGUUCAAAUUGCUUUAAAUUUACUAAAUGUAUUUAUUUAUAUCAACUCAUAAUUUACUAUAUUAUUAAUAAAUGCAACACAAUUUAGCUAUUGCUUUCAUCACAAUACACAAAUUAAAUUUACAUAACUUAUUUAAUACAUCAACUCAUAAUUCCGACACUUAAAAUCUACCAAUUGUAUUAAGUGUCACUUUGUUGCCACAAUUUUUUAAGUGACCAAUGGUCAACCUUUUUUAGAGUGUAUUGGGCUCAGCACAAUGCAAUGUAAUCUAUCAAAUCAAAUGCCAUCAAUGCACACAAUUUAUCACUGAUCUGUUGUUCCGUCUGUCUUUUUUCAACCCGUCUCUAUCUUUGUCUGUUCUUUCCCAAAAAUGCACUCUCAACCCCUUGUUUCUAUUGCUAAAUCUGUCACACACCACUCACCGAUUGUCACUCACCGAUUCGGGUCCCACCCUGCAUCGGAAACUAAAUAUACUGUUUCCUGCAGUGACUCUCCGACCUCAGGUCCCACCCUGCAUUCCCAAUAACUAACCGCAGUGACUCUCCGAGCAUCCACCUGCGCAGGAAUUUUCUCUUAUAUUCACUUAUUAAACCUUAAAACUUCAAGACGUCUUUCUGCCCAUUCUCAUCUGCCUUUUUUUAUUUUCACUUCCACCCUCUAGUUCUCGGCGUGAGGCCAACUGCCUACACCCUCCCCAGGGCUGCUCUUCUCAGACUACAGAUACAAAUUUAACACAGACUUAGAGUAUAACAGGUGUCUGCUUAUCUGUCUGUUUUAGUGCCGGCGAUCUGUAGCUCGUAGUAGUCGCGGUCCUAGCUCAGGUUUCGGACUCACGUCAGCCUUCCCCUGCAAAAUUCCCGGGUUUCAGCACCAAUAAAUAUGUCAGAACUCAGAGUCCCCUCCGAGUGGACAUAUCACAAGGUGGAAUUUUAGAUUGUGUCUAUUUCUAUUAUUUCCAUAAUCUUACUCAAUGAACUCAAUAAACUAUCAAAUACUUGUUUGUCUACAGCAGGUGUGAACUCAAUUCGUUGCCAAUGUGAUCAACAUCAGGCUCGGCCAACACCUCUUUGUCCCUUGGACGCCGAGGUUAUUACAUCUUAUGGCAGCCGCAUAUUAUUCUCUUGGUCCUCCUGCUCAUGAGACCAUUUCAGUUUUGCCUCAAAAGCAGGUGAUUUCACCCCCACAAUCUUCCAUCCAGGGUCAUAAAGAUUAUGUGCUGCUGUCGGAACUCAGAGUCCCCUCCGAGUGGACGUAUCACAGGGUGGAAUUUUAGAUUGUGUCUAUUUCUAUUAUUUCCAUAAUCUUACUCAAUGAACUCAAUAAACUAUCAAAUACUUAGCCAAAAUAACGGAGAUCUCAGUCGCAGUCAAUCACAUGCAUUUCUGAAGAGAGCAGCUGGUCUAAAAAAAAACCCAAAAAUUCCCCUCUUCUUAUACCUCAGGCGCCCCAUGGCACCUCCUUUUCCAAAUUUAAAUAUUUCCAGCAAUUUCACAUUAUAUUCAAUGUAUGGCUACUUUAAUCCUUCCUUCCUUAAUUUACAUACUUACUAUAUUUUCUUAUUUGUCCCGAUACCGCCCCUUAAUUAAAACAUCCUCCCCUUGAUGACAUCAAUGUUCCUUCUCUCAAUGUUCCCCGUACAUACAUAGAAGGGCACGCUUCCUUCAUUUGACCACAACCUUUCGGGUACAUGAUGUUUACAACAAUGUGCACAUACCUACCUCGAUGUUUACAACGAUGUGCACGUACCUCACGUACCUUGAUGUUUUAAAAUUAGAUGUGCAACCCUCUAUAUCUGAAUUUGAAUGUGCUUCUCUUUUACCUAUUAAGCGAUGCUGAUGCUGAUAAGAUGCUGUUAUGUCUAGCGUAUGUCUGUCUUCUCUCACCUGGGUGUAUAUGCUGGGCUCUGAAAAUCCCCUUAACUUCUCAUCACCAAAAAAUCCCCUCUAUUUCACCCUUCUCAGCACUAGUUCUGCAUGAUUAUUAUAAAAGUUAUACAUUUGCAUUAAUCAAAAGCUCAAAAGCCUGAUAUAAAGGAUAUAUAUUUUAUAUAUUUGCAUUACUCAAAAGCUAACUACUAAUCAGUAGCUAAAUAUUUUGAUAGAUAUUUGAUAGGUAUUUGAUAUUUGAUAGAUAACCACUACUUCUAGGCAGAGCAUUGCCAUUUUAAAUCCAGGCUAAUGUAUGAUGUAUGAUAUCUAUGUAAUUUCUCCAACAUCACCGACGACACUGCAACCCUUCGUAUGUGCAGUCUUAGUCUCGAGGUGUGAUGCCAUUGUAAGACCCUUUUGACAGAUGUGUCCCUCACAGGCUGGGACGCCUUUUUUUGAUGGCCCACUCCCAAGGUGUUUGGAAAGGCCUUCAGUUCUUGUGGCAGCUUCAGACACUGCUUGUGUGAAGAGGCAUUCCCAUAUAGUCAAGUGUGUCAAUGUCUCAUUCCCUUCUUUAAUACAUACUCCAUUAUAGAGUGACUUUUGUGUUAAUUUUUGUUUCAAAUAAAAUAAUCAAAUUCACAAACAUAUUCUUUAUCAAAAUGUAAGAAGCACAUUGCAAACAAAAUAAAAUAAUAGAGAAAUUAAACUCUUUCACACUUAUUUUGUCUUGCUUUAAUUUUUGUGCAUUUGUGGAUUUUUACCAAUCUUUCUUUUUCUUUUAACAAGGGUUGGGGGUGGGGAGUCUUAGAUGAUGAUAUUCAACUUAAAUCUCCAUUGGUCAACUUCUUCUGGGAUGGGAAAUACUAAGGUUGCCAGGCCUACCUCAGACAUGGUGAAACAAAUAGACAAAUUGCUCAGAAGAAGGGAUACCUCAAGGCAGAGGUUUUUAAACAUCGCCCCACAAACCUGCUUCAGCUGAAGAAUGUUAUUCGGCAGGAAAUAGCCUGAAUUCCGGUGGACAUGUUGGAACGUGUAGAGGGAAACGUCAAAAAUCGGUUGCAUCAGUGCACAGAGAACGGUGGCCACCACCUUCAAGAUACUUUGUUUAAAACAGCAUAAUUUGAAAUUUGAAAUUAUGUUCUUUCAUUAUCAAAAA
Molecule: long non-coding RNA, 11655 nt
Organism: Hemibagrus wyckioides
Lineage: Eukaryota; Metazoa; Chordata; Actinopteri; Siluriformes; Bagridae
Exons: 3
Source: RefSeq, a predicted model, not a curated record